Molecule: long non-coding RNA, 1012 nt
Organism: Mus musculus (house mouse)
Lineage: Eukaryota; Metazoa; Chordata; Mammalia; Rodentia; Muridae
Product: predicted gene 4230
Exons: 2
Source: RefSeq, marked validated
AGAGUUCAUGCACAGUUGGGAGCAGAGAGAGCUAACAGCUGAGAAAUAGAACAUUCAAGAAUACAAAUCUGCAAAAUGCACAGAUGCCUGAGAAUAAAAAGCAAGAGAACUGUCACACGGGGAAUUUGGAGAGCAUGGUGCUUGAAAGGCCCAUCCAGGAGUCAAUCUGCUUCAUAAACAAGUUGUCAGGGGGGCUUCUCUGAAGUCACACAAUAGACCCAAAGAGCCAAAGCCUCUUAUGCCUAAUCCUGAUUAUCUUGGGUGACCCGUGACUCCCUGCAGAUGCUUCUGUACAGACAAUGUAUGGAACAGACAUCAAACCCAGGCUGGCCUCGAAUUCUUGCCAUCUGCUUCUUUGAGCACGCGGUGCUAGUCUUUCUCCAGGAGAUGAAAACUGGUGUCAUGUUCUUCAGUAUCAAGUUACACUGCCCUGCUUCUGUGUUCACCAGGCUUGGUUCUAAGACUCAGGGACGAUCUGAAUGAUGUCCUUUUCAGGGAAUUACUUCCUGGAGGGGAUUUUCGACAAUAUCAGAGUUCCUCUGAGGAUCGAUAAAGAUUGCUGAGCAAAUGUUUCUGUGCUUUGAGUCGAGCAUCAGUUAUCCUAUUUAGCUAUUGUAUCCAAUUCUACCAAGGCUGCUAUCUGUCCAAAGGAAAAAUGAUACAUCAUCUAAAGAAGGGCAUGUUUAUUAUAUCAGGUGUACUAUGUAUUACCAAUACAGAAGUUUUCCAUCAAAUAAUUCCAUCCUUCAAAAAUCACUGUUUUGUCCCUGGGAUAAGUACAGAGAUCAUUAAUAUGUUCUAUAUUAAAUGCAGAAUAAGUCCUCCUUAAGAGGAAAUUGAAUAACAUUUAUUUUUGGUCAAACCUAGAUCUAAACCAUGGGAAUUUUUAUAUUUAAUUCUGUUAUUAAUUUUAGCUGGUAAAUUGGGAUAUGAGCUAUUUUAGUGAUGUUUUAAAAUCAUUAUUUUGUUCUAUUACUUGGGAAAGCAGCUAAUUAUUAUUAAAUGUUGAAAG